GUCGAACGAGUUCUGAUUAUUGAAAGGUGCUUGCAUCUUGAUUUAAUUUUGAACGAGUGGCGGACGGGUGAGUAACACGUGGGUAACCUGCCCUUAAGUGGGGGAUAACAUUUGGAAACAGAUGCUAAUACCGCAUAAAUCCAAGAACCGCAUGGUUCUUGGCUGAAAGAUGGCGUAAGCUAUCGCUUUUGGAUGGACCCGCGGCGUAUUAGCUAGUUGGUGAGGUAACGGCUCACCAAGGCAAUGAUACGUAGCCGAACUGAGAGGUUGAUCGGCCACAUUGGGACUGAGACACGGCCCAAACUCCUACGGGAGGCAGCAGUAGGGAAUCUUCCACAAUGGACGCAAGUCUGAUGGAGCAACGCCGCGUGAGUGAAGAAGGCUUUCGGGUCGUAAAACUCUGUUGUUGGAGAAGAAUGGUCGGCAGAGUAACUGUUGUCGGCGUGACGGUAUCCAACCAGAAAGCCACGGCUAACUACGUGCCAGCAGCCGCGGUAAUACGUAGGUGGCAAGCGUUAUCCGGAUUUAUUGGGCGUAAAGCGAGCGCAGGCGGUUUUUUAAGUCUGAUGUGAAAGCCCUCGGCUUAACCGAGGAAGUGCAUCGGAAACUGGGAAACUUGAGUGCAGAAGAGGACAGUGGAACUCCAUGUGUAGCGGUGAAAUGCGUAGAUAUAUGGAAGAACACCAGUGGCGAAGGCGGCUGUCUGGUCUGUAACUGACGCUGAGGCUCGAAAGCAU
RNAcentral lists this ribosomal RNA (737 nucleotides) under Lacticaseibacillus rhamnosus. Its description in RNAcentral is "bacterial SSU rRNA". It matches the Rfam family "Bacterial small subunit ribosomal RNA", at positions 61 to 762 of the family's 1533-position model. Lineage: Bacteria; Bacillati; Bacillota; Bacilli; Lactobacillales; Lactobacillaceae. The record is from RNAcentral.